Molecule: unclassified non-coding RNA, 359 nt
Filed under: Hevea brasiliensis (rubber tree)
Lineage: Eukaryota; Viridiplantae; Streptophyta; Magnoliopsida; Malpighiales; Euphorbiaceae
Source: RNAcentral
UUGGACGUGAAGGCUCUCUCAGGUAAUUGCUCUUUCCAUUUUUGUUUGGCUGGAAUGUGUGUAUGGCUGCAUGCAUAUGCAUACUUCUAUUGUUUUGGGGGUCUAUCUUUGCUUGUGAUUGAUGAAGUUACUUUAUGCAUUUGAAAAUGCCCUCUUGCUAGUGCGUAGAUUAAUUUCCCAACUAAGGUUGCUGUCUUUUGGGUUGGGAUUAGCUGUUGAGAGGUUGUCAAAAGGAAGUUUUUCUCAUUGGCUAUAUUCAAAAGAAAGGUAGUGGUGUAGGCUUAAGAUUCUCAUCAGAGCGAAAUAAAACUUGGUGCAUUUUUUUUUCCAUUUUCAGUACUCUCUCUCUCUCUCUCUCU